Molecule: unclassified non-coding RNA, 455 nt
Filed under: Hevea brasiliensis (rubber tree)
Lineage: Eukaryota; Viridiplantae; Streptophyta; Magnoliopsida; Malpighiales; Euphorbiaceae
Source: RNAcentral
AUAUAUAUAUAUAUACACACAUUCAUAUGCUCAGACUUCAAUGUACAUUCAGCGCACAAGUUUAACUAAAACAUGACGAAAACUUUAGAAGCUAUGCAUAGAGAGAAUGUUCUUAACAAAUGAAGUGAUCCUAAAAUUUACAUUAUGAAUACAGUGUCAUCUAAUAUUUCCCCUACAUGGAUACCAAUAUGAAUACCACUAAGAACUAUAUGUUACUUCCCCAUUUGCUCAAAAGACUGCUAACCAAUUUCACAAAUCAAACAAGAACUUACAUAUGUAGCAUAACUCUUUGUACUUAAUAGCUUGAUGAAGCCACGGCUUCAUAUUCUACCCUAGUUGUCCACAUCAAAGGAGGCAGUGUAUGACAUGAGAAGCCCACAAGAUGGACCUAUUAUGGAGAUCUAGAGAGGAAAUUCAUGUCUCCUAAUCAAUACUUUAGUCAGUGUUAUUAAGGC